Molecule: long non-coding RNA, 1285 nt
Organism: Gasterosteus aculeatus aculeatus (three-spined stickleback)
Lineage: Eukaryota; Metazoa; Chordata; Actinopteri; Perciformes; Gasterosteidae
Source: Ensembl
CAAGCAGGAGACAAAAUGUGUGUAUCUGUGUGUGCCUGUGAAUGUUUGCGCAGGCAUGUGUGUGUGUUCCUGUGUGUGUUUGUUCCUGUGUGAGUGAGUGAAAGAAGCAGAGCAGUAGAGUGUGUGUCUGUGUGUGUGUGUGUGUGUGUGUCUGUGUGUGUGUGUGUCUGUGUGUGUGUGUGUGUCUGUGUGUGUGUGUGUGUGUGUGUGUGUCUGUGUGUGUGUGUCUGUGUGUGUGUGUGUGUGUGUGUGUUGCCUGUAUGUGAGAGCGUGAAUGAGCGAGGAAGGGAGAGAGAGGACAUGUACGUGGGUGUGUGUGUGUGUGUGGUGUGUGUGUGUGUGUGUGUGUGUGUGUGUGUUACAGCAGCACAAUAUGUGCCUGUGCUGAAUGAAAGGGAAAUGAAUGCGGUGUGUGUGUCUGUGUGUGAGUGUGUGCUAUGGAAGAGGGUGUGUGUGUCCUUUAUUAGAACUGUGUGUGUGUGUGUACUUGUGUGUAGUUUGUGAAGACUGUACAACAGUGUGUUGCUGUAAAUGUGCACAGCGAAUGUUUGUCUUCGGUGAAGAUUGUGUAGCUGUGUGAAAAAGUGUGUGUGUGUGUGUGGUGUGCGUGCGUAGUUGCACGUUUGUGUACGCAAAUACACACUUGUAUUGAGGCUAUUGGUGCGGGUGAUGAAGUGUUCAUGAUCGUGUGCACACGCAAACAGAGCAGAAUUACAAUUAAACCAAACUCCUUCAGCAGCCACCAGACCUCCAUCCUCCUCCUCCUUCUUCUCCUCCUCCCUCCUCCUCCUUCUUCUCCUCCUCCAUCCUUCUCCUCCUCCUCCUCCUUCUUCUCCUCCAUCCUUCUCCUCCUCCUCCUUCUCCUUCUUAUUCUCCUCCUCCUCCUCCAUCCUUCUCCUCCUCCUUCUUCGUCUCCUCCUCCUCCAUCCUUCUCCUUCUCCUUCUUCUUCUCCUCCUCCUCCUCCAUCCUUCUCCUCCUCCUCCUUCUCCUCCUCCUCCUUCUUCUCUUUCUCCUUCUCCUUCUCCUCCUCAUACUCCUUCUUCUUCUCCUUCUCCUUCUCCCCUCAGCCCUGCGCCAUAUCCAAGCACCUUGAUGACUGUUACCUCCUCCUGCACAUGUCAGCAGGAGUGAAGUGGUUUUUCAUCAUCUCUCCUCAAGAUAGAGUUUUCUACCCGUCGAGUGUCCUCAAGAUGAGGAAUCAGCCAUCGGCCCCAAGAUCUCCCAGCGUGGAGACCAGUCUGCAGCUGACGGGGUUAAUUAACAGGUUAGACUGAAUCGGUGUGC